UUUUAGAGGAAGUGGAGGUUAAAUGAGGUCAUAUGGGUGGGACCCUAAUCCAGUAGGACUGGUGUCCUUAUUAGAAGAGGAAGAGACACCAGAGAUGUACAGGCACAGGAGAAAGGCCACGUGAAGAUGCAGUGAGAA
Long non-coding RNA from Aethalodelphis obliquidens (Pacific white-sided dolphin), 138 nucleotides. RefSeq lists it as uncharacterized. The record is from RefSeq and is a predicted model, not a curated record. The transcript is spliced from 3 exons. NCBI's taxonomy places the organism in Eukaryota, Metazoa, Chordata, Mammalia, Artiodactyla, Delphinidae.